UACGGAGGAUCCGAGCGUUAUCCGGAUUUAUUGGGUUUAAAGGGUGCGCAGGCGGGAGAUUAAGUCGGCGGUGAAAUUUUGCAGCUCAACUGUAAAAGUGCCUUCGAAACUGGUUUCCUUGAGUGUGGAUGAAGUAGGCGGAAUUUGUGGUGUAGCGGUGAAAUGCAUAGAUAUCACGAGGAACUCCGAUUGCGCAGGCAGCUUACUAAGCCAUAACUGACGCUCAGGCACGAAGGCGUGGGGAUCAAACAGGAUUAGAUACCCGGGUA
RNAcentral lists this ribosomal RNA (269 nucleotides) under uncultured prokaryote. RNAcentral's name for it is "partial 16S ribosomal RNA". It matches the Rfam family "Bacterial small subunit ribosomal RNA", at positions 524 to 792 of the family's 1533-position model. The record is from RNAcentral.